UGAGAAACCAGCGCGUCCGCAACGAUCAC
This 29-nucleotide non-coding RNA is filed under the name Homo sapiens (human). The record is from RNAcentral. Lineage: Eukaryota; Metazoa; Chordata; Mammalia; Primates; Hominidae.